This 586-nucleotide ribosomal RNA is filed under the name uncultured Glomus. Its description in RNAcentral is "SSU rRNA". It matches the Rfam family "Eukaryotic small subunit ribosomal RNA", at positions 624 to 1213 of the family's 1831-position model. The record is from RNAcentral. Lineage: Eukaryota; Fungi; Glomeromycota; Glomeromycetes; Glomerales; Glomeraceae.
AAGCUCGUAGUUGAAUUUCGGGAUCAGUAGGUUGGUCAUGCCUAUGGUAUGUACUGGCUUUACUGGUUCCUCCUUCUUGAUGAUCUGUAAUGUCAUUAAUUUGGUGUUGCAGGGAGUCAGGACUGUUACUUUGAAAAAAUUAGAGUGUUUAAAGCAGGCAUACGCUUGAAUACAUUAGCAUGGAAUAAUGAAAUAGGACGUUCGAUCCUAUUUUGUUGGUUUCUAGGAUUGACGUAAUGAUUAAUAGGGAUAGUUGGGGGCAUUAGUAUUCAAUUGUCAGAGGUGAAAUUCUUGGAUUUAUUGAAGACUAACUACUGCGAAAGCAUUUGCCAAGGAUGUUUUCAUUAAUCAAGAACGAAGGUUAGGGGAUCGAAGACGAUCAGAUACCGUCGUAGUCUUAACCAUAAACUAUGCCGACUAGGGAUCGGAUGAUGUUAUUUUUAAUGACUCAUUCGGCGCCUUACGGGAAACCAAAGUGUUUGGGUUCCGGGGGGAGUAUGGUCGCAAGGCUGAAACUUAAAGGAAUUGACGGAAGGGCACCACCAGGGGUGGAGCCUGCGGCUUAAUUUGACUCAACACGGGGAAA